UCCCUGAUGGUCCAGUGGUUAAGACGCUGCACUUUCAAUGCAGGAGGCGUGGGUUUGAUCCGUAGUUGGGGAU
Molecule: transfer RNA, 73 nt
Filed under: Bos taurus (domestic cattle)
Lineage: Eukaryota; Metazoa; Chordata; Mammalia; Artiodactyla; Bovidae
Also listed under: 2 other names
Rfam family: tRNA
About the family: Transfer RNA (tRNA) molecules are approximately 80 nucleotides in length.
Source: Rfam by way of RNAcentral